UAGAAUGUGGUGUAAGUGGUAGCACGGAGAUUUUUGAAUUCUUAGGUUUAGGUUCGAAUCCUAUAAUUCUAG
Molecule: transfer RNA, 72 nt
Filed under: Trichechus manatus (West Indian manatee)
Lineage: Eukaryota; Metazoa; Chordata; Mammalia; Sirenia; Trichechidae
Also listed under: 3 other names
Description: transfer RNA-Gln
Rfam family: tRNA
About the family: Transfer RNA (tRNA) molecules are approximately 80 nucleotides in length. Their secondary structure includes four short double-helical elements and three loops (D, anti-codon, and T loops).
Source: RNAcentral